CGGUGAUGUCCCUUGCUCACCAACCUCGUACUCUUUCAUCAACACCCUGAGCUUGAAGUUGUUGCUUAAGAUAUUCGCAGAGUGUCAGGGCUGCUGGAGCAAAUGCGGAGGUUUGUUUAUGCGGAUUAUAUCUAUAUUCUUUAUGGAAAUGAAAAUGAUACACUGUUGUUUAUGAAUGGUAACAUGAGAAGUAACGUACUACAGCUUAUACGAGGAAAGAGCCUUUGAUAAUAUUGUCAUAUCACCUGGCCCUGGUUCUGCAAUCUGUGCUGCUAAUAUAGGGCCAUAACAAUGUCAAGGAUGGUGAUUCUUCAUCUCAGACUGGAAGCUGUAUAUUGAAGUCUACAAGGAGUGCUUUCAACUUUUGGUUUGACCAAAAUGCAUGUUUCUACAAGUAGACAAACUGUAUAAAAAUCUUAAUA
Molecule: long non-coding RNA, 422 nt
Organism: Chenopodium quinoa (quinoa)
Lineage: Eukaryota; Viridiplantae; Streptophyta; Magnoliopsida; Caryophyllales; Amaranthaceae
Exons: 3
Source: RefSeq, a predicted model, not a curated record